CCCUUAGCUGUUCUGGGCCGCCCGCGCGCUACACUGACGAAUGCAACGAGCUUAUAACCUUGGCCGAAAGGUCUGGGUAAUCUCCAAAUUUCGUCGUGAUGGGGAUAGAUUAUUGCAAUUAUUAAUCUUCAACGAGGAAUGCCCAGUAAGCGCGAGUCAUCAGCUCGCGUUGAUUACGUCCCUGCCCUUUGUACACACCGCCCGUCGCUACUACCGAUUGGAUGGUUUAGUGAGACCCUCGGAUCGGUCCCGACUCGGGGUGGGCUUCUGCCCCGGUCGUGGUUUCGCCGAGAAGACGGUCAAACUUGACUAUCUAGAGGAAGUAAAAGUCGUAACA
RNAcentral lists this ribosomal RNA (337 nucleotides) under uncultured eukaryote. Its description in RNAcentral is "partial 18S ribosomal RNA". It matches the Rfam family "Eukaryotic small subunit ribosomal RNA", at positions 1470 to 1796 of the family's 1831-position model. The record is from RNAcentral.